Molecule: long non-coding RNA, 800 nt
Filed under: Equus caballus (horse)
Lineage: Eukaryota; Metazoa; Chordata; Mammalia; Perissodactyla; Equidae
Description: lncRNA (ENSECAG00000057923.1)
Source: RNAcentral
AACGAAAUGCCGCAAAAUUUAGAGAGUAGCGGAGUCAAGCUGCAACUAGUAGAUUCUAUGAUACACUUCCCGAUACGACACCUUAUCAUCACUCAUUUAGGGAGAGUGUACUCCACAGACAUUUCCCUGCGGGAGAAUUUCGCCAACUCUGAGAGCGUUUAUCCUGCUUUUUGUUGCUUUGUUUUAUUUUCCCAAAUGUCACGCAUAGCAGUUUUUCACCAACACUGCCUAACGAAGAGCUUGUCUCAGUGAGAAUCCAGGGCCUGCCUGGUUGGAGUUUUGGAGUUGAGAGACCCAGAGCUGUGCAAACCUUUGCCUCAGCGCUUCUACCUCAGCAGUCUUUCAGAGUGACUGAUCUCGAACUCACUUCGCCUCUUCAGCACAGCAGAUUUGGUUCAUAACCGGAUUGCUCUACACUUGUGCUGAGAACAGUAUACAAGGAGCCCUGGGUGGAAGCCAAAUACCACAUAAGAGGUAUUCACAGCAAUCCAGUCAAGAGAUGAUGGUGGCCAAGGACCAAGGUGGGAGCAGGAAAGGUGGAGAGAAACUCUUCGAUUUUGGAUGUAUGUUGAAGAAUCAACAGGAUUUGGUGAUGGAUUGGACAUGAGCUGUGAACAGGAGGAGUCAAAGGGAAAGAUUCACCCUGAGCUAACAUCUGUUGCCAAUCUUCCUCUUUUUUUUGUUCCUUCUCCCCAAAGCCCCACUGCAUGGUUAUAUUUCCUAGUUGUAAGUCUUUCUAGUUCUUCUAUGUGAGCCACUGCCACAGCAUGGCAACUGACAGACCACUAGACCAUCAGGGC